UUGGCGCAUGAAGAAUUCACUGAUAUGUGAGUCUUGGAAGAAAGUAAACCCUGAAAUCACAUUAUCUGGAAACUGAUAGAAGUUGUCAAAUACUCGCUUUACCAUCCUCCCGUGUAGCCUAGAUUUGGCUGCAUGACCUACUGCUAAUAAGGAGCACCUGCAUGGCUCUGAGUCAGGAACUAGUAACACAAAGAAGCAUAAAGUAGCAGUCAGUUCUUUCUCUUGCAACAGUGCAGUUGUGGCCAAAUUGAGUUCCCAAAGCAGAGGCAGUGGGAGAGAAAGGGGCAGAGUCCUGCAUACUCAGCUGCAUCAGUUAAUAGCAGUCUUCUCUCUGGGCUGCCUCUGCAGCAUGAUUUUGGGCAUUGUUCUUGGCUGCACCACUCUGAGCUUGGUUCUUCACCCUCAUAAUGAUUCUGUAAGCUGCCCAAUUUCUUUGCUACUAAAUCAGACAGGAUUGAUUUUUGUUACUUGAAACUAAAAACCCCAAUGAAGACAAAGGGUCUGCCAGAAGAUAGCUGGCUUGCACAGUCAGCUGGCAGUACAUUUAUGGGAUGCCACCUAGGUCACCACUAAGCAUGAACUCUGCUUCACAGGGUGAGGAUUCAGAGAGAGAAGUAAAUCCCCUUUUGGUGGAAGGGUAUCCAUUCCCUGGCAUACAUCUCUAUGCCUCCUCUGGCAAUGAGGUUUCUGACAAUAAUAACUGCUCUUGGCUUAAUAGGACUAGAUUUAUAUGCCUAGCCCUGGCACUAACUAGUUAUGUGACUUUGGGUAAAUUACUUAGCCUUUAUGAGCUCCAUUUAGUUGGCUGUGAAAAGGAGUUAAGAUUACAUGUUUCUAUUAUUACAUUUGUUCACUUACAUCAUAAUUAUUUGUUUUUUCAACUUUAUUGGAGUAUAAUUUACAUAUUAUAAAAUUCACCCACUUCAAGCGUAUAAUUCAAUGACUUUUAGUGAAUUUAUUGAAUUGUGGAGAGGCAUUAUCAUAAUCCAGUUUUAAAACAUUUUCACCACCCCAAUUAGAUCCUUCAUGAUCAUUUACAGUUAAUCACUAUUCCCACCCAUGGCCCAGGCAAACACCAAUCUACUUUCUGUCUCUAUAGAUUUGCCUUUUCUGGAAAUUUCAUGUAAACAGAAUCAUACAAUCAUAACUAUGUGUUACACUAGCCUCCUGCUAUACAUACAGUCUCCAAGUUAGGAUGUUUCCACUUAACGAUUUUUUGACUUUCUGAUUGUGUGGAUGUGAUAGGCAUUCAGUAGAAACCAUACUUUUGAGUAUCUAUACAACCAUUCUGUUUUUCACUUUAAGUACAGUAUGCAGUAAAUUACACGAGAUAUUUAAUACUUCAUUAUAGAAUAGACUUUUUGUUAGAUUAUUCUGCCCAACUUUAGGCUAAUGUAAGUGUUCUGAACAUGUUUAAGGCAGGCUAGGCUAAGCUAAGAUGUUCAGUAGGUUCGGGGUAUUAAAUGUAUCUAAUUGACUUAUGGUAUUUUCAAUUUACAGUGGGUUUGAUGAGACAUAACCUCAUCGCAAGUAGAGGAACAUCUGUAUAGUGAGUUUCCAGAAGGCCUAUAUCUAAUGGAACUGUUUAUGUACAAUGCAUAGUAUUGUUUUGUAUGUAGUGAAGACCCAAGGGAAAAAAAAAACUGAUAUUAAUUCUUAUGAGGUGGUGGUUGUGAGGAUUAAAUAAAUCUAAUAAACUCUUGCUACUCUAAUGUGGUCCCUAGACCAACAGCUUAUUAGAAAUGUAGUCUUAGGGCCCAUUCCAGACAUAGUGAAUUAGAAUCUGCAUUAUCACGAGAUCCUCGGGUGAUUCAUAUUGUCAUUAAAGUUUGAGCAGUACUGCUCUAGACAGUAAGUUCCAUGAGGGUGGGGAUUAUGUAUGGCACAUAAUAUGUACUCAAUAGUAUUUGUUGUAUGAAUAAAUGAAUGGUGAUUUGUAAACUGUUUAAAGCCUUAUGUACACAGGAUUGCCAAAGAACAGAAGUAUGGAUUUUUGGCUUAACUAUAAAAUCUGUUAGAGAAACAGAUUGGACUGAUACUUUAUAAUACCAGUUUAUAUACAGAAGCAAGUAUGUUUAUUUUUCUUAUAUCUGAUUGACAAUUCCAUGACAAAACCCAGUUUUAGGAUAAAAAUAUAGUCCCUUAACUGAAAUGGACUUUAUAGUGAAUUUAUUAGCAUGACAGUUAAUUAUGGAACUUCUUACUUCUAAAGAUUGACAAAGAAAAUUUAUUGCAGUUCUUUUUUGUAUAAGAGAUAAGACCUUGAUCAACAGCUAAGAAGCCAAUGUCAGACUUCAAGAGAGAGGAUUGGUAGAUGUUGUAUAAUUAUCAUCAAUCUCUAACAAGGAAAACCCAUCUAGUUUUCCACUUAAAGUAUUCUGGCUUGAAAUGCUUUAAUUUAUUCAUUUAAUCAUUCUUCAAAUCAUCAAACAUUUAUCAAAUUUGUCACUCUUUGACAAGUGCUGUGCUAGUCCUUUCUGAUGGAUUGCCAGGUACAAUAUUCUUGAGGAGUUCCAUAUCAAUACAAUGAUGAUAGCUUUUUAACUACAUGCACUAACAAAAGACUUUUUAUGAUUUAUGAGUUCGAGUGUUAAAGUCUUAAAAUGCUAUUAAAAUUCAACCACAUUAGUUAUAUAUUUAACAAAUUUAUUGAAUAGGGUAAAGUUAUAUUUUACAGAUAAAUCCAGGCUAUAUAGUUAACACAGAUUAGACAUUGUUUUUAUUUAGGGUUGCUAAAGGAAUAGGAAUAUAAUAAGGGUGUCCUGGCAAUUUUCCAUUUGCUCCUUUAGAUCCAUUUUUCACCCUAUUUGUCUUGCUUUUUAUUAGAAGCUGAACUCUACAGACUGUACAACCCACACCCUCUGGUUUCUGGUUUGCUUUGGCCAACGAUGGAUGGACUUCACUUUCAACUGCAUAAGUAAUGAUGAAAAUAAGGCCUGACCUACUAGAUUCCUCCGGCCAUAUGUCCUAAUCAAAGCCAGUGAAAUGUAAGAAGACUUCUGCUGACACCUGUGGGAAAGAGGCUGAAAUAAAAGAUAACAGAAACUUCAAUAAUCUGGAGCCAUAAAUGGUUGGAAAAGCCCCAAGAGAAUGUUAAUGUCAAUGAAGGCAACAAAUGGAUAAGACUAGAACUUAGGAAAAGUCUGAACACUCUCAGCCCUCUCUCAAGCAAUUCCUGCAUGCUGAGAAAGUCUAUCAAGAAGGAGAAUGCUGAAGAGGUAUAGUCCCUAGAGAAUCAUCCUCCGCAUUGUCCAUUACAGAUGUGGCCAUGGAGGAACAAUGGAUGAGAAAUCCUCCAAGAACAGAACAUAUGUCAGCCAGAUUGGUUGGCCAAAGAACUUCCUCUCCUCUAAUGUUAGGAAGUCCUUGUUAUUCCUGUCUAGCAAGAUAUGAUAUAUGCUAUGAAUGAGAGACCACUCUAUUUAUAUUUCCAAAUAUGAGUUUUCACUGAAGUUUUUUCUUUUUCUAUUGUUAUAUAUUAAGUGUUUUAUAGCUGAUUUUAUCAUGUGGUCUCAGAUUUUACUAGACCAUGAAAAACUAUAUUGUUGCAUGAUGGAGGCUUGCAUAUCAUGUUGCUAUUCUGGAGUUGAAGUUGUUUGUAGUACUUAUAUAUGAGUACAUUUUUAGUGGUAAAAAAUAUUGUUGCAUUGUGUAGCCACUGACAUUGGUGAAGGCAUGUGUAGGGGGGAAGAGUGUGUGGAGACAUCAAGAAAAGAACAAGCAUGUAUGGUAUGUUUGCUGUUUCCAUUACCUGGGACACAACCAUCCUUCUUCUGAUAACCAUACUCCUAUUUUCCUAAGUCAAAUCACCUUCUUGUGCCAUUCAUUUGUUACUUACAGACAACUCCUGGGAUGUGUUCAUAAAUCACUCCAGGCCAAUCUGAGCAUCUCAUUCUUUUGGCAACAAUGAUUGGUUUAGGAAUGGGCACUUAACCUUUACUGGUGGUGAGGAUGGCGUGAGUCUAGGGCUGCUGGUUGCUUACUUGUGGAGUUUGAGAAUGAAGCAAACAACAGAGGAGAGAGCUAACAUAUGGAGGAGAAUCUGAAUUUGACAUAAUUUGAACUCUUCUGCCAACCCCAGGUCUAAUAAAACUAUCUUGAAUUUUUCAAUUAUGUGAGCCAAUAAAUUCCUUUCUCUG
Microcebus murinus (gray mouse lemur) is the source of this 4139-nucleotide non-coding RNA. The record is from RefSeq and is a predicted model, not a curated record. NCBI's taxonomy places the organism in Eukaryota, Metazoa, Chordata, Mammalia, Primates, Cheirogaleidae.